This 329-nucleotide unclassified non-coding RNA is filed under the name soil metagenome. RNAcentral's name for it is "partial contains 5.8S ribosomal RNA, internal transcribed spacer 2, and large subunit ribosomal RNA". The stretch from base 1 to 120 matches the Rfam family "5.8S ribosomal RNA", at positions 35 to 154 of the family's 154-position model. The record is from RNAcentral.
GAUGAAGAACGUAGCGAAAUGCGAUAAGUAAUGUGAAUUGCAGAAUUCAGUGAAUCAUCGAAUCUUUGAACGCACAUUGCGCCCCCUAGUAUUCCGGGGGGCAUGCCUGUCCGAGCGUCAUUACAACCCUCAAGCUCAGCUUGGUGUUGGGCCCCGCCGCCCCGGCGGGCCCUAAAGUCAGUGGCGGUGCCGUCCGGCUCCGAGCGUAGUAAUUCUUCUCGCUCUGGAGGUCCGGUCGUGUGCUCGCCAGCAACCCCCAAUUUUUUUCAGGUUGACCUCGGAUCAGGUAGGGAUACCCGCUGAACUUAAGCAUAUCAAUAAGCGGAGGA